UGCAGUCGAGCGGACAGAUGGGAGCUUGCUCCCUGAAGUCAGCGGCGGACGGGUGAGUAACACGUGGGCAACCUGCCUGUAAGACUGGGAUAACUCCGGGAAACCGGGGCUAAUACCGGAUAAUUCUUUCCCUCACAUGAGGGAAAGCUGAAAGAUGGUUUCGGCUAUCACUUACAGAUGGGCCCGCGGCGCAUUAGCUAGUUGGUGAGGUAACGGCUCACCAAGGCCACGAUGCGUAGCCGACCUGAGAGGGUGAUCGGCCACACUGGGACUGAGACACGGCCCAGACUCCUACGGGAGGCAGCAGUAGGGAAUCUUCCGCAAUGGACGAAAGUCUGACGGAGCAACGCCGCGUGAGUGAUGAAGGUUUUCGGAUCGUAAAACUCUGUUGUCAGGGAAGAACAAGUACCGGAGUAACUGCCGGUACCUUGACGGUACCUGACCAGAAAGCCACGGCUAACUACGUGCCAGCAGCCGCGGUAAUACGUAGGUGGCAAGCGUUGUCCGGAAUUAUUGGGCGUAAAGCGCGCGCAGGCGGUUCCUUAAGUCUGAUGUGAAAGCCCCCGGCUCAACCGGGGAGGGUCAUUGGAAACUGGGGAACUUGAGUGCAGAAGAGAAGAGUGGAAUUCCACGUGUAGCGGUGAAAUGCGUAGAGAUGUGGAGGAACACCAGUGGCGAAGGCGACUCUUUGGUCUGUAACUGACGCUGAGGCGCGAAAGCGUGGGGAGCAAACAGGAUUAGAUACCCUGGUAGUCCACGCCGUAAACGAUGAGUGCUAAGUGUUAGAGGGUUUCCGCCCUUUUAGUGCUGCAGCAAACGCAUUAAGCACUCCGCCUGGGGAGUACGGCCGCAAGGCUGAAACUCAAAGGAAUUGACGGGGGCCCGCACAAGCGGCGGAGCAUGUGGUUUAAUUCGAAGCAACGCGAAAAAACCUAACAGUCUUGACAUCUCCUGACACCCCUAGAGAUA
This 969-nucleotide ribosomal RNA is filed under the name Cytobacillus firmus. RNAcentral describes it as "bacterial SSU rRNA". It matches the Rfam family "Bacterial small subunit ribosomal RNA", at positions 56 to 1008 of the family's 1533-position model. The record is from RNAcentral. Lineage: Bacteria; Bacillati; Bacillota; Bacilli; Caryophanales; Bacillaceae.